AUCAUUAACGAGUUAGGGUUCCCUCUGGGCCCGACCUCCCAACCCUUUGUCUACUUGACCAUCGUUGCUUCGGCGAGCCCGUCCUCACGGACCGCCGGAGGGACCUUCAUUGGCCCUCUGGUCCGCGCUCGUCGGUGGCCCAACCUUUUUAAAAUCUUUAACCAAACGUGCCUCAAUCUAAGUACUAUUUGUUAAAUAAAAGCAAAACUUUCAACAACGGAUCUCUUGGUUCUGGCAUCGAUGAAGAACGCAGCGAAAUGCGAUAAGUAAUGCGAAUUGCAGAAUUCCAGUGAGUCAUCGAAUCUUUGAACGCACAUUGCGCCCUUUGGUAUUCCGAAGGGCAUGCCUGUUCGAGCGUCAUUAUCACCCCUCAAGCCCCCGGCUUGGUGUUGGACGGUUUGGUGGAGGCCCCUUGCGGGCAUCUGCCCCUCCCAAAGACAAUGACGGCGGCCUCGUUGGACCCCCGGUACACUGAGUUCUUCACGGGACACGUAUCGGACACACGGGUUUACGGGGCACGGUCUGCCUCCCCCUCAGGGAGAAUCUUUCUAAGGUUGACC
This 560-nucleotide ribosomal RNA is filed under the name Exophiala salmonis. RNAcentral describes it as "eukaryotic LSU rRNA". The stretch from base 206 to 360 matches the Rfam family "5.8S ribosomal RNA". The record is from RNAcentral. Lineage: Eukaryota; Fungi; Ascomycota; Eurotiomycetes; Chaetothyriales; Herpotrichiellaceae.